AUUGAACGCUGGCGGCAUGCCUUACACAUGCAAGUCGAACGGCAGCACGGGAGCUUGCUCCUGGUGGCGAGUGGCGAACGGGUGAGUAAUACAUCGGAACGUGCCUGUUAGUGGGGGAUAACCAAGCGAAAGUUUGGCUAAUACCGCAUACGUCCUGAGGGAGAAAGCGGGGGGAUCUUCGGACCUCGUGCUAACAGAGCGGCCGAUGGCUGAUUAGCUAGUUGGUGAGGUAAAGGCUCACCAAGGCGACGAUCAGUAGCGGGUCUUAGAGGACGAUCCGCCACACUGGGACUGAGACACGGCCCAGACUCCUACGGGAGGCAGCAGUGGGGAAUCUUGGACAAUGGGCGCAAGCCUGAUCCAGCAAUGCCGCGUGGGUGAAGAAGGCCUUCGGUUGUAAGCCUUUGUACGGAGGUCGAAAUACCUGCCUGUUAAUACCGGCGGGAGUGAGAGUACCGUAAGAAUACAGCACCGGCUAACUACGUG
Molecule: ribosomal RNA, 486 nt
Filed under: uncultured bacterium
Lineage: Bacteria
Description: bacterial SSU rRNA
Rfam family: Bacterial small subunit ribosomal RNA
Source: RNAcentral